RNAcentral lists this ribosomal RNA (253 nucleotides) under uncultured bacterium. RNAcentral describes it as "partial 16S ribosomal RNA". It matches the Rfam family "Bacterial small subunit ribosomal RNA", at positions 524 to 776 of the family's 1533-position model. The record is from RNAcentral.
UACGUAGGGUGCGAGCGUUAACCGGAAUUACUGGGCGUAAAGUGUGCGCAGGCGGCCGCGCAAGUCGAGUGUGAAAUCCCGGGGCUCAACCCCGGGCCUGCAUUCGAUACGGGCAGACUAGAGUUCGGUAGGGGAGUCUGGAAUUCCUGGUGUAGCGGUGAAAUGCGCAGAUAUCAGGAGGAACACCGGUGGCGAAGGCGGGACUCUGGGCCGAUACUGACGCUGAGGAGCGAAAGCGUGGGGAGCAAACAGG